AGUGGGCCAUUUUCUAAUUCAAGUGAUGAGAGUUUGUUCAGUGAUGAUGAGAUUCCGGGUGGAGGAGCUGAGCCAGUUGGAACUGAGGCCUCAGCUAGCUCGGAUGAGACGGGGGCAAUGUAAUUUUUAAUAUUUGACUUUUUGGUUUAUGGUCUGUGUUUGUGAUUUCAGUAGGAAGCCAGGCUUCUCCUUUUUCUGCUG
This 201-nucleotide unclassified non-coding RNA is filed under the name Hevea brasiliensis (rubber tree). The record is from RNAcentral. Lineage: Eukaryota; Viridiplantae; Streptophyta; Magnoliopsida; Malpighiales; Euphorbiaceae.